UACGUAGGUGACAAGCGUUGUCCGGAUUUACUGGGCGUAAAGGGCGCGUAGGCGGCCAGUGCAAGUCAGUUGUGAAAUCUCCGAGCUUAACUCGGAAAGGUCAACUGAUACUGCUCGGCUAGAGUGCGGAAGGGGCAACUGGAAUUCUUGGUGUAGCGGUGAAAUGCGUAGAUAUCAAGAGGAACACCUGCGGCGAAGGCGGGUUGCUGGGCUGACACUGACGCUGAGGCGCGAAAGCAUGGGGAGCAAACAGG
Molecule: ribosomal RNA, 254 nt
Filed under: uncultured bacterium
Lineage: Bacteria
Description: partial 16S ribosomal RNA
Rfam family: Bacterial small subunit ribosomal RNA
Source: RNAcentral